RNAcentral lists this non-coding RNA (176 nucleotides) under Leptotrichia buccalis. RNAcentral's name for it is "GlcN6P sequence". It matches the Rfam family "glmS glucosamine-6-phosphate activated ribozyme aptamer". Rfam says of the family: This entry contains a glucosamine-6-phosphate activated ribozyme that is found in the mRNA for GlmS. GlmS is an enzyme that uses fructose-6-phosphate and glutamine to generate glucosamine-6-phosphate. The ribozyme catalyses self cleavage of the glmS mRNA that is thought to regulate GlmS activity. Lineage: Bacteria; Fusobacteriati; Fusobacteriota; Fusobacteriia; Fusobacteriales; Leptotrichiaceae. The record is from RNAcentral.
AAAAAUAAAAAAGCGCCAGUCCUUUUGGAACAAUCAAUAUAAACAAUAAAAUUUCAGAAGGAGACGAGGGAAAGAGUUAUCGAAAUAUCGGCGGAUGCUCUUUAGGUGGUUACAACCUUAAUAAUAUACAAAAAUUUCGAGUAAUUGGGAUUACAAAGGUAUUAUAGUAACGUUUU